CCUACGGGAGGCAGCAGUGAGGAAUAUUGGUCAAUGGACGAGAGUCUGAACCAGCCAAGUAGCGUGAAGGAUGACUGCCCUAUGGGUUGUAAACUUCUUUUAUAUGGGAAUAAAACGUUCCACGUGUGGGAUUUUGUAUGUACCAUAUGCAUAAGGAUCGGCUAACUCCGUGCCAGCAGCCGCGGUAAUACGGAGGAUCCGAGCGUUAUCCGGAUUUAUUGGGUUUAAAGGGAGCGUAGGUGGAUUGUUAAGUCAGUUGUGAAAGUUUGCGGCUCAACCGUAAAAUUGCAGUUGAAACUGGCAGUCUUGAGUACAGUAGAGGUGGGCGGAAUUCGAGGUGUAGCGGUGAAAUGCUUAGAUAUCACGAAGAACUCCGAUUGCGAAGGCAGUUCACUGGACUGCAACUGACACUGAGGCUCGAAAGUGUGGGUAUCAAACAGGAUUAGAUACCCGAGUAGUC
RNAcentral lists this ribosomal RNA (460 nucleotides) under uncultured bacterium. Its description in RNAcentral is "partial 16S ribosomal RNA". It matches the Rfam family "Bacterial small subunit ribosomal RNA", at positions 338 to 795 of the family's 1533-position model. The record is from RNAcentral.